UACCACUUGGAAACAGGUGCUAAUACCGGAUAAGAAAGCGGAUCGCAUGAUCAGCUUUUAAAAGGCGGCGUAAGCUGUCGCUAUGGGAUGGCCCCGCGGUGCAUUAGCUAGUUGGUAAGGUAAAGGCUUACCAAGGCGAUGAUGCAUAGCCGAGUUGAGAGACUGAUCGGCCACAUUGGGACUGAGACACGGCCCAAACUCCUACGGGAGGCAGCAGCC
RNAcentral lists this ribosomal RNA (219 nucleotides) under uncultured Lactobacillus sp. RNAcentral describes it as "partial 16S ribosomal RNA". It matches the Rfam family "Bacterial small subunit ribosomal RNA", at positions 144 to 355 of the family's 1533-position model. The record is from RNAcentral. Lineage: Bacteria; Bacillati; Bacillota; Bacilli; Lactobacillales; Lactobacillaceae.